GCAGCACGUUGGUGUGUGUUUUGUUCGUUGUUGUUGUUCUUGUGUUGUAGGGCGACUGCUCGUGUGCGGCUCGUGUGCGGCUCCAUGGCUCCUGCGUGCACUGCUACGUUUGUUGGCUGCGGUAAACGCCGGUGGCUUCCUGGAGCCCCGUGUCUCUCUGUCGCUCCCUCCCUCCUCUUGUGCGAGGGUGUGUGCGUCCGCUAACAAGUUAUGUAUUGUCGUCCGUGAUCAUGUGGCAGGUAGAGUGCUGCGCCACCUUUGUCACUGGUACCACCUGUGCAUAUGGCUGCGCUCUCGUCGGCGGGUUAUGUAUUGUCGUCCGUGAUCAUGUGGCAGGUAGAGUCACCUGUGCAUAUGGCUGCGCUCUCGUGGGAGGGGUGUUGGUCGGCACUGAACGGUGAUUUGUGUGGUGCAGUCCUGCUCCACCUCCAGUCAUUGGUGCCAUGCACAUGGGGAAGGAGCAAUGUCUGGGGUGAAUGUUUCAGCCAUUGCUGUGUGCCAAAGCUUACUCCUGUCCUUGUAUGCAGUACUUCAUAAUAAAUAUAUGUAACCUAAA
Scatophagus argus is the source of this 556-nucleotide long non-coding RNA. RefSeq lists it as uncharacterized. The transcript is spliced from 6 exons. Lineage: Eukaryota; Metazoa; Chordata; Actinopteri; Scatophagidae. The record is from RefSeq and is a predicted model, not a curated record.